This 446-nucleotide ribosomal RNA is filed under the name uncultured organism. Its description in RNAcentral is "partial 16S ribosomal RNA". It matches the Rfam family "Bacterial small subunit ribosomal RNA", at positions 334 to 797 of the family's 1533-position model. The record is from RNAcentral.
CACUCCUACGGGAGGCAGCAGUGGGGAAUAUUGGACAAUGGGCGCAAGCCUGAUCCAGCCAUGCCGCGUGAGUGAUGAAGGCCCUAGGGUUGUAAAGCUCUUUCACCGGUGAAGAUAAUGACGGUAACCGGAGAAGAAGCCCCGGCUAACUUCGUGCCAGCAGCCGCGGUAAUACGAAGGGGGCUAGCGUUGUUCGGAUUUACUGGGCGUAGAGCGCACGUAGGCGGACUAUUAAGUCAGGGGUGAAAUCCCGGGGCUCAACCCCGGAACUGCCUUUGAUACUGGUAGUCUUGAGUUCGAGAGAGGUGAGUGGAAUUCCGAGUGUAGAGGUGAAAUUCGUAGAUAUUCGGAGGAACACCAGUGGCGAAGGCGGCUCACUGGCUCGAUACUGACGCUGAGGUGCGAAAGCGUGGGGAGCAAACAGGAUUAGAAACCCUAGUAGUCCC